RNAcentral lists this long non-coding RNA (12894 nucleotides) under Zea mays. RNAcentral describes it as "long non-coding RNA (ZMAY_LNC001106)". Lineage: Eukaryota; Viridiplantae; Streptophyta; Magnoliopsida; Poales; Poaceae. The record is from RNAcentral.
UGAUUACAAUGGGUUGUGAACUAAGCGCAGUUGAUAACAAAUUAGUCAUACAUACAUAUUUGUUGAGGCACCAAAAUAUUGGUCCUAGAGACCGCAAAAGGUGGCAUGUCAGAACUAUAGAGAUAUGCCCUUUUAUCUACCAUGUUUGAUUCAGCAUGGAGAUCUUGUUUGCAUCAAAAGAAAGUUCAGGGGACUUUAUCAAGCAAAUAUGCUUUACAGCGGAUUAGGCUAAAGUUUGCAAAAGAUAGCGUGUGAGAAGCAAGCAAAUUUGGUGUUUUAAACAACCAUCUUUAGUUCUCUUGGACAUCAUCAUCACUGCUUUGGAUAUGUAAACAUCCUUUUCUUAACCUGCAUAUUUUUUUAAAGUAGUAAGUAAUUGUAGGCUUGAAUCAGGUCAGUAUAGAUCGAUGUAGAGGUUAAUGUAGGAAACAAUUUAUGAGAAGGUAAAUAUGUUAAUCUAAAGCAAAGUAAAAAAGAAAUAAAGGUUCUUGUAUAUGAGCAUCACAAAAUGUUUGUAUCUUCUUUAAGUGUAUCUUGCAUGGUACGUAAAACAGAUGCAUGCAACAUGGUAUGGUUUCGUUCUGUGUUGAUCAUAGUCUACAAACUUCUUAGUAGCAGCUGGAACUCAUUUAAUGGAGGUGUAUGAAUGGUGAAAGGGAAUUAGGCUUACACCUAUUUCCUAAACUAAUUUUGGUGGUUGAAUUGCCCAGCACAAAUAAUUGGACUAGCUAGUUUGCCCAAGUCUAUAAGUUAUACAGGUACCAAAGGUUCACAAUAAGCCAAUAAAAAGACCAAGAAAAGGGUUCAACAAAAGGAGCAAAGGGACAACCGAAGGUACCCUGGUCUGGCGCACCGGACUGUCUAGUGCACCACCGGACUGUCCGGUGUACACCGGACAGUGUCCGGUGCUCCAGGAAUGAAGCGACUCUGAACUCGCCAGCUUCGGGAAUUCGCAACGGCUACUCCGCUAUAAUUCACCGGACAUGUCCGGUGUACACCGGACUGUCCGGUGUAACAGCGGAGCAACGACAACUUCAGCGCCAACGGUCACCUGCAGGCGCAUUAAAUGCGCGCCAGAGCGUGCAGAAGUCAGGCACGCGCGAACAGGCGCACCGGACACUCUACAGUGCAUGUCCGGUGCGCCACCGGACAUCAAGGCGGGCCCAGCGUCAGAGCUCCAACGGUCGGAACCCUAGCGUUCGGGUGACGUGGCUGGCGCACCGGACAUGUCCGGUGUGCACCGGACUGUCCGGUGCACCAUGCGACAGACAGCCUCCACCCAAACGGCUAGUUUGGUGGUUGGGGCUAUAAAUACCCCCAACCACCCCACAUUCAAGUCAUCCAAGUUUUCCACCUUCCAACCACUUACAAGAGCUAGGCAUUCAAUUCUAGACACACUCAAGUGAUCAAAUCCUCUCCAAUUCCACACAAGGCUUUAGUGAUUAGCGAGAGAGAUUUGCCGUGUUCUUUUGAGAUCUUGCUCUUGGAUUGCUUCUUUCUUUCUCACUUGUUCUUGUGAUCAAAACUCCAUUGUAACCGAGGCAAGAGACACCAAUUGUGUGGUGGUCCUUGCGGGGAAGUUUUGUUCCCGGUUUGAUUUGAGAAGAGAAGCUCACUCGGUCCGAGGGACCGUUUGAGAGAGGGAAAGGGUUGAAAGAGACCCGGUCUUUGUGACCACCUCAACAGGGAGUAGGUUUGCAAGAACUGAACCUCGGUAAAACAAAUCCGCGUGUCACACUCUUCAUUCGCUUGCGAUUUGUUUUGCACCCUCUCUCUCGGACUCUUUAUUAUUUCUAACGCUAACCCGGCUUGUAGUUGUGAUUAUAUUUGUAAAUUUCAGUUUCGCCCUAUUCACCCCCCCCCCUCUAGGCGACUUUCAAUUGGUAUCGGAGCCUGGUGCUUCAUUAGAGCCUAACCGCUCGAAGUGAUGUCGGGAGAUCACGCCAAGAAGGAGAUGGAGACCGGCGACAAGCCCACUACAAGCCACGGGUCGACUUCAUCGGAAGAGUCCCGCAACAAGAGGAAGGAGAAGAAAAACUCCUCCAACAAAGGGAAGGGGAAGGAGAAGAGAUCCUCUUCCCACAAGUCGCAUCGGAGAGGCGACAAGCACAAAAGGAUGAGGAAAGUGGUCUACUACGAGACCGACACUUCAUCAACGUCGACCUCCGGCUCCGACGCGCCGUCCGUUACUUCUAAGCGCUAAGAGCGCAAGAAGUAUAGUAAGAUCCCCCUACGCUACCCUCGCACUCCUAAACAUACACCUUUACUUUCCGUCCCAUUAGGCAAACCGCCAACAUUUGAUGGUGAAGAUUAUGCUAGGUGGAGUGAUAUGAUGCGAUAUCACCUAACCUCACUCCACAAAAGUAUAUGGGAUGUUGUUGAGUUUUGUGUACAGGUACCAUCCAUAGGGGAUGAAGAUUAUGAUGAGGACGAAGUGGCCCAAAUCGAGCACUUCAACUCCCAAGCCACCACUAUACUCCUCACCUCUCUAAGUCGAGAGGAGUAUAACAAGGUGCAAGGGUUGAAGAGCGCCAAGGAGAUUUGGGACGUGCUAAAGACCGCGCACGAGGGGGAGCUCGGUCGCUUCCGUCUUCGCCACGGGGAGGAGCCACAAGACAUGUACAACUGGCUCAAAACCUUGGUGAACCAAGUGCACAACCUCGAGAGCAAAAAAUGGGAUGACCACAAAGUGGUUAAGGUUAUUCUAAGAUCACUUGUUUUCCUUAACCCUACUCAAGUUCAAUUAAUUCGUGGCAAUCCUAGAUAUACUCAAAUGACCCCCGAGGAAGUUAUAGGUAAUUUUGUGAGCUUUGAGUUGAUGAUCAAAGGAUCAAAGAAGAUCAACGAGCUUGACGGCCCCUCCACAUCCGAAGCACAACCGGUCGCAUUCAAGGCAACGGAAGAAAAGAAGGAGGAAUCUACUCCAAGUCGAACACCCAUCGACGCCUCUAAGCUCGACAACGAGGAGAUAGCGCUCAUCAUCAAGAGCUUCCGUCAAAUCCUCAAGCAAAGGAGGGGGAAAGACUACAAGCCCCGCUCCAAGAGAGUUUGCUACAAGUGUGGUAAGCCCGGUCAUUUUAUAGCAAAAUGUCCACUAUCUAGUGACAGUGACAGGGGCGACGACAAGAAGGGCAAGAGAAGAGAAAAGAAGAGGUACCACAAGAAGAAGGGCGGCGAUGCCCAUGUUUGCCGGGAGUGGGACUCGGACGAGAGCUCCACCGACUCCUCCUCCGACGAGGACGCCACAAACAUCGCCGUCACCAAGGGUCUUCUCUUCCCCAACGUCGGCCACAAAUGCCUCAUGGCCAAGGAGGGAAAAAGGAAGAAGGUAAAAUCAAGAUCCUCCACCAAAUAUGAAACAUCUAGCGAUGAGGAUAAUGCUAGUAAUGAGGAGGAUAACUUGCGCAUUCUUUUUGCCGACCUAAACAUGCAACAAAAGGAAAAACUAAAUGAGCUAAUUAGUGUCAUCCAUGAAAAGGAUGAUCUCUUGGACUCCCAAGAGGACUUCAUAAUCAAGGAAAAUAAAAAGCAUGUUAAGGUUAAGAAUGCUUAUGCUCUAGAAGUAGAAAAAUGUGAGAAAUUAUCUAGUGAGCUAAGCACAUGCCAUGACACUAUUGCCAACCUUAGAAAUGAAAAUGCCAAAUUAAUUGCUAAGGUUGAUUCUCAUGUUUGUGAUGUUUCAAUUCCCAAUCUUAGAAAUGAUUAUGAUGAUUUGCUUGCUAAGAUUGAAGAAUUAAACAUCUCUCUUGCUAGCCUUAGGGUUGAAAAUAAAAAAUUAAUUGCUAAGGCUAAAGAAUUAGAUGUUUGCAAUGUUACAAUUUCUGAUCUUAGAGAUAACAAUGAUAUUUUGCGUGCUAAGAUUGUUGAAUUUAAUUCUUGCAAACCCUCUACAUCUACCAUUGAGCAUGUUUCUAUUUGCACUAGAUGUAGAGAUAUUGAUAUUGAUGCUAUUCAUGAUCACAUGGCUUUAAUUAAACAACAAAAUGAUCAUAUAGCAAAAUUAGAUGCUAAAAUUGCCGAGCAUAACUUAGAAAAUGAAAAGUUUAAAUUUGCUAGAAGUAUGCUCUAUAAUGGGAGACGCCCUGGCAUCAAGGAUGGCAUUGGCUUCCAAAGGGGAGACAAUGUCAAACUUAAUGCCCCUCCUAAGAAAUUGUCUAAUUUUGUUAAGGGCAAGGCUCCCAUGCCUCAGGAUAACGAGGGUUACAUUUUGUACCCUGCCGGUUAUCCCGAGAGCAAAAUUAAGAGAAUUCAUUCUAGGAAGUCUCACUCUGGCCCUAAUCAUGCUUUUAUGUAUAAGGGUGAGACAUCUAGUUCUAGGCAACCAACCCGUGCUAAAUUGCCUAAGAAGAAAACUCCUAGUGCAUCAAAUGAUCAUAACAUCUCAUUUAAAACUUUUGAUGCAUCUUAUGUGCUUACUAACAAAUCUGGCAAGGUAGUUGCCAAGUUUGUUGGGGGUAAACACAAGGGCUCCAAGACUUGUGUUUGGGUACCCAAAGUUCUUGUGUCUAAUGCCAAAGGACCCAAAACCGUUUGGGUACCUAAAGUCAAGAACUAAAAUUGUUUUGUAGGUUUAUGCAUCCGGGGGCUCAAGUUGGAUCAUCGAUAGCAGGUGCACAAACCACAUGACAGGGGAGAAAAAGAUGUUCUCCUCCUACGAGAAAAACCAAGAUCCCCAAUGAGCUAUCACAUUCGGGGAUGGAAACCAAGGUUUGGUCAAAGGUUUGGGUAAAAUAGCUAUAUCUCCUGACCAUUCCAUUUCCAAUGUUUUUCUUGUUGAUUCACUAGAUUAAAAUUUGCUUUCUGUAUCUCAAUUGUGUCAAAUGGGGUACAACUGUCUAUUUAAUGAUGUAGGUGUCACUGUCUUUAGAAGAAGUGAUGAUUCAAUAGCAUUUAAGGGAGUGUUAGAGGGUCAGCUAUACUUGGUAGAUUUUGAUAGAGAUGAACUCGACACUUGCUUAAUUGCUAAGACUAACAUGGGUUGGCUCUGGCACCACCGACUAGCUCAUGUUGGAAUGAAGAAUCUUUAUAAGCUUCUAAAGGGAGAGCACAUUUUAGGAUUAACAAAUGUCCAUUUUGAGAAAGACAGGAUUUGUAGCGCUUGCCAAGCAGGGAAGCAAGUUGGUGUUCAUCAUCCACAUAAGAACAUCAUGACGACUGACAGGCCACUGGAGCUCCUACACAUGGAUCUAUUCGGCCUGAUUGCUUACAUAAGCAUCGACGGGAGUAAGUACUGUCUAGUUAUUGUGGAUUAUUAUUCUCGCUUCACUUGGGUGUUCUUUUUGCAGGAAAAAUCACAAACCCAAGAGACUUUAAAGGGAUUCUUGAGACAGGCUCAGAAUGAGUUCGGCUUAAGGAUCAAGAAAAUUAGAAGCGACAACGGGACGGAGUUCAAGAACUCACAAAUUGAAGGCUUCCUUGAGGAGGAGGGCAUCAAGCAUGAGUUCUCUUCUCCCUACACCCUACAACAAAAUGGUGUAGUGGAGAGGAAGAAUCGAACUCUAUUGGACAUGGCAAGAACCAUGCUUGAUGAGUACAAGACACCGGAUCGGUUUUGGGCCGAGGCGGUCAACACCGCCUGCUACGCCAUCAACCGGUUAUAUCUGCACCGAAUCCUCAAGAAGACAUCCUAUGAACUCCUAACCGGUAAAAAGCCCAAUAUUUCGUAUUUUAGAGUUUUUGGUAGCAAAUGCUUUAUUCUUGUUAAAAGAGGUAGAAAAUCCAAAUUUGCUCCUAAAACUGUAGAAGGCUUUUUACUAGGAUAUGACUCAAACACAAGGGCAUAUAGAGUCUUUAACAAGUCCUCAGGACUUGUUGAAGUUUCUUGUGACGUUGUGUUUGAUGAAACUAACGGCUCUCAAGUAGAGCAAGUUGAUUUUGAUGAGAUAGGUGAAGAACAGGCUCCGUGCAUCGCGCUAAGGAACAUGUCCAUUGGGGAUGUGUGCCCUAAGGAAUCCGAAGAGCCUCCACAUGCACAAGAUCAAUCAUCCUCCUCCACGCAAGCAUCUCCACCAACUCAAAAUGAGGACGAGGCUCAAGUUGAUAAAGGAGAAGAUCAAAGAGUUGAGCCACCUCAAGAUGACGGCAAUAAUCAAGGGGGAGAUGCAAAUAAUCAAGACAAGGAGGAUGAAGAACCAAGACCACCACACCCAAGAGUCCACCAAGCAAUCCAACGAGAUCACCCCGUCGACACCAUCCUCGGCGAUAUUCAUAAGGGGGUAACCACUAGAUCUCGUGUUGCACAUUUUUGUAAGCAUUACUCUUUUGUUUCCUCUAUUGAGCCACACAGGGUAGAGGAAGCACUACAAGAUUCGGAUUGGGUGAUGGCGAUGCAAGAGGAGCUCAACAACUUCACGAGGAAUGAGGUAUGGCAUUUAGUUCCACGUCCUAAUAAAAAUGUUGUAGGAACCAAAUGGGUCUUCCGCAACAAGAAAGAUGAGCAUGGUGUGGUGACAAGGAAUAAAGCUCGACUUGUGGCCAAGGGAUACUCCCAAGUCGAAGGUUUGGAUUUUGGUGAAACCUAUGCACCCGUAGCUAGGCUUGAGUCAAUUCGUAUAUUAUUAGCCUAUGCUACUUACCAUGGCUUCAAGCUUUACCAAAUGGACAUGAAGAGUGCUUUCCUCAAUGGACCAAUCAAGGAAGAGGUCUACGUUGAGCAACCUCCCGGCUUUGAAGACAGUGAGUACCCUAAUCAUGUCUAUAGGCUCUCUAAGGCGCUUUAUGGGCUCAAGCAAGCCCCAAGAGCUUGGUAUGAAUGCCUUAGAGAUUUCCUUAUUGCUAAUGGUUUCAAAGUCGGCAAGGCCGAUCCUACUUUAUUUACUAAAACUCUUGACAAUGAUUUGUUUGUAUGCCAAAUCUAUGUCUAUGAUGGGGGAGUUAAAGUAUUUCUUGGGAUUUCAAGUAAAGCAACUCCAAGAGGGCACCUUCAUUUGCCAAACAAAGUACACUCAAGACAUUCUAAACAAGUUUGGGAUGAAGGAUGCCAAGCCCGUCAAGACUCCCAUGGGAACAAAUGGGCAUCUCGACCUCGACACAGGAGGUAAGUCCGUGGAUCAAAAGGUAUACCGGUCGAUGAUAGGUUCAUUGCUUUACUUAUGUGCAUCUCGACCGGACAUUAUGCUUUCCGUAUGCAUGUGUGCAAGAUUCCAAGCCGACCCUAAGGAAUCUCACCUUACGGCCGUAAAACGAAUCUUGAGAUAUUUGGCUUAUACUCCUAAGUUUGGGCUUUGGUACCCUCGGGGAUCCACGUUUGAUUUACUUGGUUAUUCGGAUGCCGAUUGGGCAGGGUGCAAGAUCAAUAGAAAGAGCACAUCGGGGACUUGCCAGUUCUUGGGAAGGUCCUUGGUGCCUUGGGCUUCAAAGAAGCAAAAUUCGGUCGCUCUUUCUACCGCCGAAGCCGAGUACAUUGCCGCAGGUCACUGUUGUGCGCAAUUGCUUUGGAUGAGGCAAACCCUGCGGGACUAUGGUUACAAAUUAACCAAAGUUCCUCUUCUAUGUGAUAAUGAGAGUGCAAUCCGCAUGGCGGAUAAUCCCGUUGAGCAUAGUCGCACUAAGCACAUAGCCAUUCGGUAUCAUUUUCUUAGGGAUCACCAACAAAAGGGGGAUAUUGAGAUUGCAUACAUUAAUACUAAAGAUCAAUUAGCCGAUAUCUUUACCAAGCCACUUGAUGAACAAACUUUUACCAAACUUAGGCAUGAGCUCAAUAUUCUUGAUUCUAGGAAUUUCUUUUGCUAAUUUGCACACAUAGCUCAUAAGUAUACCUUUGAUCAUGUCUCUUUGAUAUAUGCUAUGACUAAUGCGUUUUCAAGUGUAUUUCAAACCAAGUCAUAGGUAUAUUGAAAGGGAAUUGGAGUCUUCGGCGAAGACAAGGCUUCCACUUCACUCUAUCACCCAUCCUUCGUCGUCGCUCCGAGCAUCUCUCCAUCUUUGGUAUAAUCUUCACUCCUAUGUUUUAUUUGCCAAAGGGGAGAAAGUAGUUAUCAAAGGGCUUAUAUUUCACUCUAAGUAUCCGUUUUUGGCGAUUCAUGCCAAAGGGGGAGAAAGUAUAGCCCAAAGCAAAAGGACCGCACCACCACCCUAAUUUUAAAAAUUAAUGAUUUUCAAUUGGUAAAUUUCAAAUUGGUCUCUCUUUGUGUUCUAAAGGGGGAGAAAGUAGUAUUUUCAAAAAUUGAUGUCAUAAAACCCUCUUGAACACUAGGAGGAGAAUUUAUUUGAGGGGGAGUUUUGUUUAGUCAAAGGAAAAGCAUUUGAAACAAAGGGAGAAAAUUUCAAAUCUUGAAAAUGCUUCGCAAAAUCUUAUUCAUUUACCUUUGACUAUUUGCAAAAAGACUGUGAAAAGGGUUUACAAAAAGAAUUUGCAAAAAACAAAACAUGUGGUGCAAGCGUGGUCCAAAAUGUUAAAAAUGAAGAAACAAUCCAUGCAUAUCUAGUAAGUAAUAUUUAUUGGCUCAAUUCUAAGUAACCUUUGCACUUACAUUUUGCAAACUAGUUCAAUUAUCCACUUCUAUAUUUGUUUUGGUUUGUGUUGGCAUCAAUCACCAAAAAGGGGGAGAUUGAAAGGGAAUUAGGCUUACACCUAUUUCCUAAACUAAUUUUGGUGGUUGAAUUGCCCAACACAAAUAAUUGGACUAACUAGUUUGCCCAAGUCUAUAAGUUAUACAUGUACCAAAGGUUCACAAUAAGCCAAUAAAAAGACCAAGAAAAGUGUUCAACAAAAGGAGCAAAGGGACAACCGAAGGUACCCUGGUCUGGCGCACCGGACUGUCCGGUGCACCACCGGACUGUCCAGUGUACACCGGACAGUGUCCGGUGCUCCAGGAAUGAAGCGACUCUGAACUCGCCAGCUUCGGGAAUUCGCAACGGCUACUCCGCUAUAAUUCACCGGACAUGUCCGGUGUACACCUGACUGUCCGGUGUAACAGUGGAGCAACGGCUACUUCAGCGCCAACGGUCACCUGCAGGCGCAUUAAAUGCGCGCCAGAGCGCGCAAAAGUCAGGCACGCGCGAACAGGCGCACCGGACACUCUACAGUGCAUGUCCGGUGCGCCACCGGACAUCAAGGCGGGCCUAGCGUCAGAGCUCCAACGGUCGGAACCCUAGCAUUCGGGUGACGUGGCUGGCGCACCAGACAUGUCCGGUGUGCACCGGACUAUCCGGUGCACCAUGCGACAGACAGCCUCCACCCAAACGGCUAGUUUGGUGGUUGGGGCUAUAAAUACCCCCAAUCACCCCACAUUCAAGUCAUCCAAGUUUUUCACCUUCCAACCACUUACAAGAGCUAGGCAUUCAAUUCUAGACACACUCAAGUGAUCAAAUCCUCUCCAAUUCCACACAAGGCUUUAGUGAUUAGCGAGAGAGAUUUGUCGUGUUCUUUUGAGCUCUUGCGCUUGGAUUGCAUCUUUCUUUCUCACUUGUUCUUGUGAUCAAAACUCCAUUGUAACCGAGGCAAGAGACACCAAUUGUGUGGUGGUCCUUGCGGGGAAGUUUUGUUCCCGGUUUGAUUUGAGAAGAGAAGCUCACUCGGUCCGAGGGACCGUUUGAGAGAGGGAAAGGGUUGAAAGAGACCCGGUCUUUGUGACCACCUCAAAGGGGAGUAGGUUUGUAAGAACCGAACCUUGGUAAAACAAAUCCACGUGUCACACUCUUCAUUCGCUUGCGAUUUGUUUUGCGCCCUCUCUCUCGGACUCUUUAUUAUUUCUAACGCUAACCCGGCUUGUAGUUGUGAUUAUAUUUGUAAAUUUCAGUUUCGCCCUAUUCACCCCCCCCCCCUCUAGGCGACUUUCAAAUGGUGUUAGCACAUGAUAGCAAGAAGGAUACUAACGUUUGUCUAUAUCUCAGUCCUUGUAGUUGGUAGACAUUUGGAUUGUAUAGGAAUUUUUAAUUUGGAUCCUAUUUCUAGAAGGUCCAAUUUGGUGUAUUUUUUAGAAAUUCCUAAGUUGUUACCUAGAUUCUAUUUGGUGCGGUUAUCUGCGACUACUUAUGGCAGCAUGGAACUUGUGUGUGGUAGCUUCUUUGUAGAUUGUAGUAUUUUGAUUAACUGCAUUAUCAGUCAUAUUGUCAGGUUGUAUGUCGGCACACAUUCAACGUUUUUAUACCUAAAGCUCCUUCUUGAUGCUAAGUGUAGUAAGGCGCUAUUGUUAGGAAGUUCUGCAGAUGGAUGACUUCUGUAACUCUUAGGGGUUUUGGAGCAAGUGAAAUGGAGAUUGAGGGGGUUAAAAUUGCUUACUAAGAUAAACAUAUAGAAGAUGCUACCUCCGUUCUCGAAUAUUUGUCACCAGCUAGUUCAUUUUUAAACUAAACCGCGACAAAUAAAAAAAUGAGAGUAUAUAUGUUUAGAAGCAUUACCUUUUCGGAGGAGAUUCGAUAAGGUCAUAUUGCCUUUUCCUUUGAUCUGACUUGUGUUCAUUGUUUGCUCCUAUAGAAAGAAAAUAUGGAUUAGUUUAAUGUACUUACUUUUUCUAAUAGAGUGAGUAACAGAUGUUAAUAUGUUUGUGGUUGUUUUUUUAUAUCAAGUGGAAGUGGCGUAUCUUUGUAAUUUUCACUUCGGCAUCAGAUUUGGGAGUAUGUUGAUAUGUGAGAGGGUUACUGAGCGAUGGAUAUGUCAGCUUCUUUGCAGCCUAAAAGUAAACAUUAUAUGACAUAAUUUAGCUGUGAGAUGUUAUAUAAUUAGGAGAAAAGAAGUAGUUUACUUGAUAGUAUGUGUGGCAUGAAUAGAAAGAAAAUACGUACAUGGAAAAGUACAUUGUGAAUGAAUUUGUAUGUAUUCAAUUAGUUGUUAAUGAUUCAUGUUGUUUAGAGUUGUAGCAACUAAUGACUUGAAAUUUUAAAAAAUUAAACAUGUGUGUUUUAGUGAGGAAUAAGUGAAAGAAAAAUAUAAAAUUGAUGGUGUGUGCAUUCAUAAACAUGUAUGAAGAAACAUAAUAAUAUAGAGGUGUAUGUGGCAAACAACAAUAAAAAAUGAAAUGAGAGUUCUUGUAUGUAAAUCCAGGAAGAGUGCGAACAAUGCAACUAAUGACUUGAAAUUGUAGAAGAGCUAUACAUAAAUGAUUGUGUAUAUAUUUUAGCAAGUUUCUCAUAUGUUUCCAAUAGUUGUUAAAUGGAAGCAUGAAUAGAACGUACGUAGACAUGAAAGCAUGUUCAUUAUGAAAGGCUACUGUUGUGAAAGAAAGAGCAGGUUACACUGAAAGAAUACCUGUUUUUUUGGUAGAAGACACAUAAUAUCAAAUUGAGCUAUCGAUGUUCAAAAGAGGUAAGUGAAAGAAUACUUAAAUUCUGAUGAUGCGUAUAUUUUUUUAAGAUUGAAUAUGUAUAAUGUGACAUUGUAGAGUUGUACAUGACCUAAAGAGAAUGCACCUGUUGUGCAUAGAAUUGGCAAGUUACGUUGUUGAAAUCAGCUUUUGAUGAUUCUAAAUAAUGAGCGAUCAUUUGGUAAACAAUAAGAAACAAAAUUAGUUAUGGUGUAUAGAGGUUAAGGAGUAGUGAGAGUAUAAGAAGGGAAUAUAUCCGGUGCAAAUGAGUCUUUGGUGCAUAUAUGUGCACAUGAACUAACAAAGUUCACAAAAAAUUUUAAAAAAAAAUUAGACAUAUUCUUUCCAUCUUACUCCAAUUAUAUACAAAAUUUCAAGUUCAAAUUCAUUAUACUUUAGCUAUAAUAAAAAAAGAUAAAAUUUCUGACAAGUUUAAAUUAGAAAAUCGGCUAAAAUGUUCUCCUUUUUAUUACAGCUAAAAUAUAACGAAUUUGAGCUUGAAAUUUGUAUAUAAUAAGAGUAGUAUGGAAAGAAUAUGUAUUAUUUUUUUAGAAUUUUUUUUGAACUUCGCUAGUUCAUAUGCAGCAAAGGCUCAUGUGCACCGGAUAUGUUCCCAUAUAAGAAACUAUGCAGGAAUGAUAUCCAUGUAUGUAUUUUGUGCAUCGAAGAAACUAUAUAUGUAUUUGAUGGAAGUUACAGUAUCAGAGAAAUCUGCAGGUUGUAUAAAUCAGCUAUUGAUGAUGCUGAAUAGUAAGUGAGUAUUUCAGAAACAAUAAGAAGCAAAGUUACAUUUCGUGUAUGCAAGUUGAGAAGUCAGAAACUAUGCAUGAAUCAUACCUGUGUAUACAUUUUUUUGGAAAGAUGUAAUGUGGUUAUCUCGGUGGCAUAGUUUAUAAACACACUAAAUAAAUAGGGCUAUAUAUCAAUUGUGAUGUUCUGGACAUCACUUUCACCAAUAUAUAACGACUUACGACUUAGAAACUUUACUGUUUUGUUGAUAAUCAGAUGGGACGUCCGUGUAUUAUUCUUGUUAUAAUUUGUCACAUCUGUACAGGUUGUAGACACGUAUAUGAGAAUUUGCAUUUCGGAAAAAGGAAUGAUGGGAAUGACUAAUUUUGUGCUCGUUCUUAGUUUAUGAUGACCAGGAAAUUUGCACGGCGGAGGAAGAUAGAAGAAAACCCUAAUACCAAGGCUAUACACUUUGUAGGAUGUUGUACCCGUAUUUGCUCAUGGACGAACACAAAAUCAAUUCAAAGCGGGCGAAGCGAGAAUGAAAACCUAAUCAGCUGGAACUGGACUGGGACUGUAUGGAUAAGAAAGCUAGAAGCAAAACAUAAGACCGACUACAUUCGCUUUGAAAAAUGUUCUAGCCGUUGUUGUGCAUCGAUGAGCAGGAAAUGGAAUCACAGUGCGCGAAGCAAAAUGGAAACCCUAACACAAAGGACAUACAAAUCCAAAAGCUUUUGUACCUGCAUGAGUCGGCAGCAUGUUGAGGAUUGGGCGCGCCGGAGAGGAGAGGAUAGAGCAGGGACGUGUGGGGAAGAAGAGACAGCAGAGGGCGCACCGGUACCAGGCCCAUCGCCGCCGACGGAGAAGAGAGGGUGACCCAUUGACCGUCUGUAACACCCUGGGCUUUAAGAGACAAAGCCGG